AGCGAACGCUGGCGGCAGGCCUAACACAUGCAAGUCGAACGAACUCUUCGGAGUUAGUGGCGGACGGGUGAGUAACACGUGGGAACGUGCCUUUAGGUUCGGAAUAACUCAGGGAAACUUGUGCUAAUACCGAAUGUGCCCUUUGGGGGAAAGAUUUAUCGCCUUUAGAGCGGCCCGCGUCUGAUUAGCUAGUUGGUGAGGUAAAGGCUCACCAAGGCGACGAUCAGUAGCUGGUCUGAGAGGAUGAUCAGCCACAUUGGGACUGAGACACGGCCCAAACUCCUACGGGAGGCAGCAGUGGGGAAUCUUGCGCAAUGGGCGAAAGCCUGACGCAGCCAUGCCGCGUGAAUGAUGAAGGUCUUAGGAUUGUAAAAUUCUUUCACCGGGGACGAUAAUGACGGUACCCGGAGAAGAAGCCCCGGCUAACUUCGUG
Molecule: ribosomal RNA, 433 nt
Filed under: uncultured bacterium
Lineage: Bacteria
Description: partial 16S ribosomal RNA
Rfam family: Bacterial small subunit ribosomal RNA
Source: RNAcentral